UGGGGGGCACUUGCUGACUCUGAGGGUGGGCAAGCUUUGAAGCAGGCACCUAGAGACGCUGUGCACUCUUCAUCCUCGGAAAAGUUCAAACGCAGGUUAGACAGACACUUGACUGGGGUGGUUUAGUCAGAGAUGAUCCUGCUUUGAGCAGGGGGCUGGACUAGAUGUGACAUCAUGAGGUCCCUUCCAGCCCAAUUUUCCUAAGAUUCCUCAGGCUAUCAGAGGAUAACAAAAAACCAUUGCAUUGGAUUAUUUGUUGAUAUUUUGGGGGUGUUUAAUCUUAUUAAAGUGUAACUGCUACACAGCAAGCCUGGUUCAUUGAUGGGAGGUCAAUUAGGACAUGCAAGGAAAUUAAGAAAUAUUAAUAAGAAAUAGCCACCUCCCAAUGCAAUGCUUUGACAUUCCUCCUUACAGUUCUUCCUGCCUCUCACCUUUUCCUCUCUGCUAUUAUUGUUCUUUUCAUUCUCUGACAAUGAGGAAAGGGCUUUCAGGGCCUGGCCAUACCUCCCCUAUCCUAUCCGCAUUGCUAGCCCUCAUUUUCAGAGUGUCUUUCUCCACCUUCCAACACAACACCCAAUGCAAACUCAACUUUAUAACUUUUGGUGUCUCAUGAGAAUGGUUGGAUUCUGCCAGAGGAAGAGGCCAUUGUUAUACAAUCAAGUGCAACUGCAACACAGUUUCUAUAGCAAUGGGAAAGCCUGUGACUGUUAUUUCCAUAUAUGGCAAUGGCUGACCAUUGUGAUGCAUCACGGACCUACGUUGAGCUUGACAUGUCAUGUCACAGUCAAUGGACUCUUGAGAUACAGACCAGCUAUGCUUCACCUCAUCACCCAGUGAAGACCAACACCCAAUGACCAAGAGAGGUGACCAAAAGGUGGCAAUCCAGCAGCCAAGACCUUGAAAGGAGAAGAUGGCGAGAUACAGACGAUACCACCGGCAUCGCAGCAGAAGAAGCAUCCACUUUCGGGAGCACGGGAGGCACAGGAGGCAGGGAAGAGGGAGAGCCAGGAGGAGGAGAGGCAGGAGAGGAGGCAGGCGCCACUACCAUUAUAGGAGGCGAGUGUUUUAUUGAUCCAUCAGCUGCAAUUCGGAAACAUACUGCUGUCACGACUGCAUUAGGAUUGCCAUCUCCGGUGCAUGAAACGACCUUGCUUUCUGGGAGCUGAAGGAGCUGUAGCCAACAGCCACCUGGCAAUAAACUGGGUUGGAUGAGUUUUGUCCUGCA
Molecule: long non-coding RNA, 1225 nt
Organism: Gavialis gangeticus (Gharial)
Lineage: Eukaryota; Metazoa; Chordata; Crocodylia; Gavialidae
Exons: 2
Source: RefSeq, a predicted model, not a curated record